Molecule: long non-coding RNA, 1544 nt
Organism: Papaver somniferum (opium poppy)
Lineage: Eukaryota; Viridiplantae; Streptophyta; Magnoliopsida; Ranunculales; Papaveraceae
Exons: 2
Source: RefSeq, a predicted model, not a curated record
UCUUUCUUCUUCUCUCCCUUUUCUCUGUUUUCUUUUCUGCCGAUAAUUUGUGAGUCGUGCAUGAAGAUUUAUCGAGUAAGAUUAAUCAGUGAAGAUGUUUAAACGAGGAUAUAUGUGGUGUUGUUAUCAAUCGGGGAAGGAAACUGUCAGGGAUUUAAGAAGAUCAAAUUAGGAUUUCUGUAAAUGGAAUUGGAAUUCGAUUGAGUUCUCAGGUGAAUUUGUGGGUUAUUUGGGAUGUUGUUAGUUGAAAAUUGGAAGGUUUGAGGUUUGAUUGAACCUGUAGAGUUGUUUGAGGAUUGAAUCAGGAGUUAGGGUUUCAUAAUAAGAGACUCAUAGAAGAAUUAGAAGAUGAAAUUAAGGUGUUAAGGGAAAGAUUGGAUAUGGGUUGGUGUUAAAUUGUUGUUGCGAAGUCGUUUUGAUGAUGAAUUGGAAAAUGGGAAACUAGGGUUCAUAAGAGUUCAAAGAAGAACCAGAAGAUGAAAUUGAUACUUUGGAAGUAUGAUUAAAGGUGGGUUUGUUAUGAGUUUGGAGAUAAGGUUUAAAUAUAACUCGAAUCGAUAGUUAUGGUUUUGAGAUUGAUAGUUUGAAGUUGUUAAUGGAGUUAUUUGAUUGUGUUUAUGAGAAGGUGAUGAGGUUGUUAUGGGUGUUGAUUUGAGCUUUGAGGUUAACUCAGAGGAAGAGGUAGGUUGAAUUGAUUAAGAACCAGGGAGAUUGUUUUGUUCUAGAGAACCAGUUAGGGUGAUGAAGAUUGUUGGGCUGUUGUUAGUCUUGAGAUGAGUGGAUGAACAUAGUCAAGUAAAGAAGGAAAUGAAUUCCAAUUGCCUGAGUAACACAUUUGAGGUAAUUAUUUCCUUAGAUGAUUUAGCUCAGUUAAGUUUUAUUGUAUGAAUAUUUGUGUUUGAUAAUUGAAUUGAGAAUCGGGAUGUAUGUAUGUUGAAUUGAAGUUCAGUAUGUUAGAAUUGGAGUUGUUAUGGUUGGAUGUUAUGAUUGUUGGUGUUGAAGUUUAUUGGGUCUGUGGUGAAUGAGGAUUCAGUGAUGCAGUGAAAUGGAGUUGCAGAUUAUUAUGUACUGUAUUCUGGGUUGCAGUUGUUGAAGUCUGAUUGUGCUGGUGAACUUCUUGUAAGAAAGUUGUGUAUGGAGUAAGUUUAUAUAAAUGAGUUGUUGCAUAUAUUAGUGGAAUCUUGUUGUUGCAGGGGAGGUGCAAGUACAGAGCAUGGGUGUUGGAGUUAGACUUGAACUGAGAUGGGUAGUGAGUGAACUAGUGUAAGAAGAAUGGGAUAGUAAAGAUAUAGAUAGUGGUAACUGUAUGGUUGUAGAUGGAAGCUUCAAUGAAGGCUUGUAUCUGAUGUUGCAGUUUCAGAGACAGAUCAAGAUGUGUAGAGUUGCGCAGCGAAAGCUUCGGGGAGUUGAUUACGUUAUUUAGAUUGCUUCCGCUAUGUUUAUUUUGUGUUUAUAUUUUAUUUGUAAAUCAACUCACUAUUGAAUAUGUAUCAUUUAAGAGGAGUUCUUGUUUUUAUUUCAGAGCGGGUUUAGAUUCGGGUUAA